This 442-nucleotide ribosomal RNA is filed under the name uncultured bacterium. RNAcentral describes it as "partial 16S ribosomal RNA". It matches the Rfam family "Bacterial small subunit ribosomal RNA", at positions 338 to 795 of the family's 1533-position model. The record is from RNAcentral.
CCUACGUGUGACAGCAGUGGGGAAUAUUGGGCACUGGGCGCAAGCCUGACCCCGCAACGCCGCGUGAAGGAAGACGGCUUUCGGGUUGUACACUUCUUUUAAGAGGGAAGAGCAGACGCCGGUACCUCUUGAAUAAGCCACGGCUAACUACGUGCCAGCAGCCUCGGUAAUACGUAGGUGGCAAGCGUUGUCCGGAUUUAGUGGGUGGAAAGGUCCUUCAUCCGGGAAGACAAGUCUAGUGUGAAAUCCCGCGGCUCAACCGCGGAACUGCAUUUGAAACUGUCUGUCUUGAGUACCUGAGAGGUCAGCGGAAUUCCGUGGGUAGGGGUGAAAUGCGUAGAUAUAAGGAAGAACACCAGUGGCGAAGGCGGAUGACUGGACGGCAACUGACGGUGAGGCGCGAAAGCGUGGGGAGCAAACAGGAUUAGAUACCCGUGUAGUC